RNAcentral lists this transfer RNA (83 nucleotides) under Hypoxylon rubiginosum. RNAcentral's name for it is "tRNA-Arg". It matches the Rfam family "tRNA". Rfam says of the family: Transfer RNA (tRNA) molecules are approximately 80 nucleotides in length. Their secondary structure includes four short double-helical elements and three loops (D, anti-codon, and T loops). Further hydrogen bonds mediate the characteristic L-shaped molecular structure. tRNAs have two regions of fundamental functional importance: the anti-codon, which is responsible for specific mRNA codon recognition, and the 3' end, to which the tRNAs corresponding amino acid is attached (by aminoacyl-tRNA synthetases). tRNAs cope with the degeneracy of the genetic code in two manners: having more than one tRNA (with a specific anti-codon) for a particular amino acid; and 'wobble' base-pairing, i.e. permitting non-standard base-pairing at the 3rd anti-codon position. Lineage: Eukaryota; Fungi; Ascomycota; Sordariomycetes; Xylariales; Hypoxylaceae. The record is from RNAcentral.
GGCUGCUUGGCGAAAUGGUAUCGCGUCACUUUCCGGUAUAAGGAGCUUGGUGAAGAUUGCGGGUUCGAGUCCCGUGGCGGUCG